GCUACAGCCGAGAGCACAGACAGUCCUCUCACCUCUCCCCAAAUACAGAGGUCAAGGACAAAACUGCCUUUGAAUUCAUUGAGAGCUAGAUAUGUCCCUUGAGGCUCACCUCUAAUUGCUGACCAUAUUCAUUCAUCAGUUAAGGCCAGAAGUGACCACUUAAUCAACUAGUCUGAUCUGUAUAAGACAGGCCAUAGAAUUUCACCUGGAUGCCCCUGUAUUGAGGCAAGUAACUUAAGUUUGACUAAAGCAUAUCUUCCAGAAAGGCAUCAAGUCUUGAUUUGAAGACAUCAAGAGAUGGCAAAUCCACCAUUUUGCUCUGUAGUUUGUUCAGUGGUUAAUCCCACUCACUGUUAAAAAUGUGCAUCUUAUUUCUAAUUUAAAUUUGUCCUGCUUUAUCUUCCAGCCAUCGGCUAUUGUUAUGCCUUUCUCUGCUAGCCCUGGUCUACACUGCGGGGGGAGGGGAAGGAAUCGAUUUAAGUUACGCAACUUCAGCUACGUGAAUAACGUAGCUGAAGUCGACGUGC
Long non-coding RNA from Chrysemys picta bellii (western painted turtle), 527 nucleotides. RefSeq lists it as uncharacterized. The record is from RefSeq and is a predicted model, not a curated record. NCBI's taxonomy places the organism in Eukaryota, Metazoa, Chordata, Testudines, Emydidae.